RNAcentral lists this long non-coding RNA (263 nucleotides) under Lathyrus oleraceus (garden pea). RNAcentral describes it as "Pisum sativum (pea) long non-coding RNA (PSAT_LNC020031)". The record is from RNAcentral. Lineage: Eukaryota; Viridiplantae; Streptophyta; Magnoliopsida; Fabales; Fabaceae.
GAUAAGCAACCUAUCCCCUGCUAUUCUGUGUGUCUUCUGCUUUGCUCACACCACUGUGUUGAUGCAUUGCAGAUACAAACCCAAGAUCUUGUACAAUUGUACAGUUGAGUCAGUAUCAAAUGUGUAGAAGGGUUCCCACUUUCUGAACCCACACAUUCUUGUCUUAAGCUCUCCCAGGCCAGGGAUAAGAGCUGUGAAGUCUUAUCUUCACUCACCUUUCAUCUGCUUCACCUUAGCCCCUCAAUGGCAAGGUUAAGAGCNNN